This is an RNA transcript of Brassica rapa (field mustard), 2363 nucleotides long. It is a transcript of the gene named phospholipase A1 PLIP2, chloroplastic, with no coding region annotated. The record is from RefSeq and is a predicted model, not a curated record. Lineage: Eukaryota; Viridiplantae; Streptophyta; Magnoliopsida; Brassicales; Brassicaceae.
CUUUCUCCCAAAACAUUAACAAAAACAAAUAUCGCAAAGAAAGAAGAGAAAGAGAAAAGUCUUGUGUGUUUUUCUAUUUUAAAGAGAAACGAAAAUAUAGCAUUGAAAGAUCUCAACACAGAAAUAAUAAAUUGAAGUGAGAAUCAGAAGAAUCCAAAUUCAAUAAUAAAAGCUUUUUUUUUAUAUAAAUAAGGAAACAGAACAAAAGGAUGGAUAGUUUGUGUCUGAAUCCCGGCUUACUUCCAGCGGUUGUGGAGGAGUUGUUGAAGUGAGAGCAACCGCAUCGCAGCGAAAAAAGAGACCUUUUGGGUUCUCUUUCAAACACCCAUUGACGCCCUUUUGGUCACGCGGUGGUGGAAUUGCGUGGAGAAGACGAAGCGGCUUGGCUUUGGAUGAAGCUGUUCUGGAUGAUUCGAGACAGACAAUCGCGGAGGAGGAGCCAUCGGAGAGGCGAAAUGGGAGCUGGAUUUCGAAGAUCUUGGAUGUGCAGUCUAUGUGGAGAGAUGGAGAGCUAGACGAAGAAGAAGAACUGGACGACGCCGUAUUGUCUGAAGCUGAAGAGGAUGUAUGUUCGGUUUUGGAAGAUGAUGGUGACGAAGAAAACAAAUUUCAGAUGCACAGAGAAUCAUUCUCUAAAUUGCUCAAGAGGGUCUCCUUGUCCGAAUCAAAACUCUACGCCCAAAUGUCUUAUUUGGGAAACUUGGCUUAUUCCAUUUCAAAGAUCAAGCCUGCGAAUCUGUCCAAGUAUUACGGCCUUAGGUUCGUAACUUCAUCAGCUGAGAAAACAGAGUUAGCUUUAAAGGCUCAAGUUUCAGGUGAGACCAAGCCAAAGGAGGAGGAUGAUGAAGAAGAAGAAGAAACUGAAGAUCGCAUGAUUAGUGCAUCUGCUGCAUAUGAGGUUGUUGCAUCAGCUGCUUCUUACCUUCAGUCUCGUACCACCAACAUUCUUCCUUUCACUGAUGAGGAGGAAUCGUCAUCUUCUUCUUCUUUAACCAGCUCUGUUACUUGUGUUGUUGCUGCUGAGGAAGAUGUCAAACAAGCUGUUGCUGACGAUUUGAAAUCCACCAUCUCCUCUCCUUGUGAUUGGUUUAUUUGCGAUGAUGAUCAAACUCUCACCAGAUUCUUUGUCAUUCAGGGAUCGGAAUCUCUAGCUUCUUGGCAAGCAAACCUUCUCUUUGAGCCAAUUGAAUUUGAGGAACUGGAUGGUGCCAUUGUUCACAGAGGAAUAUACGAAGUUCAAGCCCACAUCAAAGCCCAUGGAAACCGAGCUAAGUUCCGUUUCACCGGACAUUCGUUAGGGGGAAGCUUGUCUCUAUUACUAAACCUCAUGUUACUGGUUCGAGGUGAAGUACCUGCUUCUUCUUUACUCCCUGUUAUUACAUUUGGUGCGCCCUUUGUACUAUGUGGAGGCGACCGUCUUCUUAAAAAGCUUGGGUUGCCUAAAAGCCACGUUCAAGCCAUCAUAAUGCACCGUGACAUUGUCCCAAGAGCCUUUUCUUGUAACUACCCUUACCAUGUAGCAGAGCUUCUCAAAGCUGUGAACGGCAACUUCCGUAGCCAUCCUUGUCUUACCAAGCAGAGUAUGUUGUAUUCUCCCAUGGGGGAGCUUCUAAUCCUUCAACCGGAUGAGUCAUUCUCUCCAGGACACGAUCUUCUUCCUCCAGGAAAUGGUUUAUAUCUUCUAACCGGUGGUGGUUUUGAAUCACUGGAUGAGGAGGAGGAGGAACAACGGUUGAGAGCUGCGCACACGGUUUUCUUGAACACGCCACAUCCUCUCGAUAUCCUUAGCGACAGAUCAGCUUACGGGUCGAGCGGGACCAUACAAAGGGAUCAUGACAUGAACUCAUACCUGAAAGCGGUUAGGAGUGUGAUAAGAAAAGAAGUGAGUCAGAUAAGGAGGUUGAAGAGGGAGCAUCGUCGGAGUCUCUGGUGGCCUAUUCUGGUGGCCACAGAAAGCGGGAGGACCUCGGAGACUGCGAUUGGCAACGGACAAAUCAGCGGUCAGGAUUUCUCGGGGAUGAUGAAGACAGGAAGAAAGUCUUUGCAGAGGUUUAGCCGCCUUGUGGCGUCUCAACAUAUGCCUUUGAUCCUUGUUCUCUUGUUUCCGGUUAAGUUGUUGUUCCUUGAAGCUUUCAACGUCCUUAGUUUCCGUUGAAUUGUUUUUCUUUUGGCGGGUUAAGGUCGUCUGAUGAUGAUACCGGUUAAGCCGGGUUCGGUAAUGACCGGUUUAGAUCAUUCUUUAUUCAUUUCAUAUUUGUUUGUUUUGUUGCGUUUAUGCAGUAAAUGGAAUAUAAGGGUAUCGAAAGGACGAGAGUCCUGACCAAAGUAGUAACUUUAAUUCUAACCCAUCUCUUUUUGUGUCC